Molecule: ribosomal RNA, 403 nt
Filed under: uncultured Methylobacterium sp.
Lineage: Bacteria; Pseudomonadati; Pseudomonadota; Alphaproteobacteria; Hyphomicrobiales; Methylobacteriaceae
Description: bacterial SSU rRNA
Rfam family: Bacterial small subunit ribosomal RNA
Source: RNAcentral
UCGGGGUCAGCGGCGGACGGGUGAGUAACGCGUAACACCGAGCCUUCCGGUUCGGAAUAACCCUGGGAAACUAGGGCUAAUACCGGAUACGCCCUUAUGGGGAAAGGGAAACUGCCGAAGGAUCGGCCCGCGUCUGAUUAGCUAGUUGGUGGGGUAACGGCCUACCAAGGCGACGAUCAGUAGCUGGUCUGAGAGGAUGAUCAGCCACACUGGGACUGAGACACGGCCCAAACUCCUACGGGAGGCAGCAGUGGGGAAUAUUGGACAAUGGGCGCAAGCCUGAUCCAGCCAUGCCGCGUGAGUGAUGAAGGCCUUAGGGUUGUAAAGCUCUUUUAUCCGGGACGAUAAUGACGGUACCGGAGGAAUAAGCCCCGGUUAACUUCGUGCCAGCAGCCGCGGUAAU